CAAAAAAUAGUUUAAUUAAAAUAAUAGUAUUGGAAACUAUAGUUUAAAAGUAAUUUUAUUUUUUGA
RNAcentral lists this transfer RNA (66 nucleotides) under Octopus salutii. RNAcentral's name for it is "tRNA-Pro". Lineage: Eukaryota; Metazoa; Mollusca; Cephalopoda; Octopoda; Octopodidae. The record is from RNAcentral.